Molecule: ribosomal RNA, 770 nt
Filed under: gut metagenome
Description: bacterial SSU rRNA
Rfam family: Bacterial small subunit ribosomal RNA
Source: RNAcentral
GUAACUGACGCUGAUGCUCGAAAGUGUGGGUAUCAAACAGGAUUAGAUACCCUGGUAGUCCACACAGUAAACGAUGAAUACUCGCUGUUUGCGAUAUACAGCAAGCGGCCAAGCGAAAGCAUUAAGUAUUCCACCUGGGGAGUACGCCGGCAACGGUGAAACUCAAAGGAAUUGACGGGGGCCCGCACAAGCGGAGGAACAUGUGGUUUAAUUCGAUGAUACGCGAGGAACCUUACCCGGGCUUAAAUUGCAACUGAAUAUAGUGGAAACAUUAUAGCCGCAAGGCAGUUGUGAAGGUGCUGCAUGGUUGUCGUCAGCUCGUGCCGUGAGGUGUCGGCUUAAGUGCCAUAACGAGCGCAACCCUUAUCUUUAGUUACUAACAGGUUAUGCUGAGGACUCUAGAGAGACUGCCGUCGUAAGAUGUGAGGAAGGUGGGGAUGACGUCAAAUCAGCACGGCCCUUACGUCCGGGGCUACACACGUGUUACAAUGGGGGGUACAGAAGGCAGCUACACAGCGAUGUGAUGCUAAUCCCAAAAGCCUCUCUCAGUUCGGAUUGGAGUCUGCAACCCGACUCCAUGAAGCUGGAUUCGCUAGUAAUCGCGCAUCAGCCACGGCGCGGUGAAUACGUUCCCGGGCCUUGUACACACCGCCCGUCAAGCCAUGAAAGCCGGGGGUACCUGAAGUCCGUAACCGUAAGGAGCGGCCUAGGGUAAAACUGGUAAUUGGGGCUAAGUCGUAACAAGGUAGCCGUACCGGAAGGUGCGGCUG